This 791-nucleotide ribosomal RNA is filed under the name Streptomyces sp. RNAcentral's name for it is "bacterial SSU rRNA". It matches the Rfam family "Bacterial small subunit ribosomal RNA", at positions 68 to 873 of the family's 1533-position model. Lineage: Bacteria; Bacillati; Actinomycetota; Actinomycetes; Kitasatosporales; Streptomycetaceae. The record is from RNAcentral.
GAUGAACCACUUCGGUGGGGAUUAGUGGCGAACGGGUGAGUAACACGUGGGCAAUCUGCCCUGCACUCUGGGACAAGCCCUGGAAACGGGGUCUAAUACCGGAUACUGACCACCACAGGCAUCUGUGGUGUUCGAAAGCUCCGGCGGUGCAGGAUGAGCCCGCGGCCUAUCAGCUUGUUGGUGAGGUAACGGCUCACCAAGGCGACGACGGGUAGCCGGCCUGAGAGGGCGACCGGCCACACUGGGACUGAGACACGGCCCAGACUCCUACGGGAGGCAGCAGUGGGGAAUAUUGCACAAUGGGCGCAAGCCUGAUGCAGCGACGCCGCGUGAGGGAUGACGGCCUUCGGGUUGUAAACCUCUUUCAGCAGGGAAGAAGCGAAAGUGACGGUACCUGCAGAAGAAGCGCCGGCUAACUACGUGCCAGCAGCCGCGGUAAUACGUAGGGCGCGAGCGUUGUCCGGAAUUAUUGGGCGUAAAGAGCUCGUAGGCGGCUUGUCGCGUCGGUUGUGAAAGCCCGGGGCUUAACCCCGGGUCUGCAGUCGAUACGGGCAGGCUAGAGUUCGGUAGGGGAGAUCGGAAUUCCUGGUGUAGCGGUGAAAUGCGCAGAUAUCAGGAGGAACACCGGUGGCGAAGGCGGAUCUCUGGGCCGAUACUGACGCUGAGGAGCGAAAGCGUGGGGAGCGAACAGGAUUAGAUACCCUGGUAGUCCACGCCGUAAACGGUGGGCACUAGGUGUGGGCAACAUUCCACGUUGUCCGUGCCGCAGCUAACGCAUUAAGUGCCCCGCC